ACUAGUAGACGGGACUUGUACCUGUAAUGAAUUCCAGAGCCUUAGCAUUCCAUGUGCCCAUGUGAUAGCAGCAGCAACAAGCAUUGGAAUUAGCAUGGAUAACUUUGUAGCACCGGCAUACUUUGAACACACGCUUCGACUUUCUUAUGCCGAGAAGAUUUAUCCUAUUCCAUCUGUCGGGGGACCCGAUAAUGCGUUUGGUACUGUAGGGGAUCUUAAUCCUCCUUUUGUGCGACGUCCACCGGGCAGGCCUAAGAAGAUUCAGAUCAAAUCUAAGGGGGAAUUCAAGCGCCCUCGUCAACAGUCUAACAGGAGGUGUUCCCGUUGUUGUCGCCCAGGCCACAACAAGGCUUCCUGUAAAAAUGCUAUAUAAGCAUUAGCAACAACCAUGGGUUUUAAUGAAGGUGUUCCAAAGAAGGUUUUUGGAGUGGGCAAAAUAAUGGUUACCGCAUCAAGUAUAGAUGCGAUGAUGUAUAUAUGCAGUGGCUGUGUAGUCCAAAGCUAUCACAAAAUACUCUGGUAUAUCCUAUCAUGGUAUAUACCAUAGUAUUUUGGAUGAUACGCUUAUCUAUCUAUCUCUAUGCAGUGUUGUAAAUAAGGUUGUGAUGCCCAAGAACACCAUGUUUUGAAGAUUGUAAUAUAUUAUAAACCCAGAAAUGGUUUAAUGUUA
Long non-coding RNA from Arabidopsis lyrata subsp. lyrata, 670 nucleotides. RefSeq lists it as uncharacterized. The transcript has 2 exons. Lineage: Eukaryota; Viridiplantae; Streptophyta; Magnoliopsida; Brassicales; Brassicaceae. The record is from RefSeq and is a predicted model, not a curated record.